RNAcentral lists this long non-coding RNA (222 nucleotides) under Nicotiana benthamiana. RNAcentral describes it as "long non-coding RNA (NBEN_LNC030601)". Lineage: Eukaryota; Viridiplantae; Streptophyta; Magnoliopsida; Solanales; Solanaceae. The record is from RNAcentral.
UAUCUCUAGGGUGUAAUUUUAUAUUCCUAGUCAAACUACCCAUGCCGCUACGGUCUCCAGUAUACCUAUGAACAUGUAAUUUCCCACAAGUUUUACACUUAGCCUUGUCGUGCUCUCUUACUUGAGUAAAAAAAUGCCAAACUAAUGAUGUUUCUUGACGCUUAGCAGGUUGUCCUCUAAAAGUGGGAGUUUGUACAGGUGGGUGUGCCGGUUCAUUACCUA